AACGAACGCUUGCUGCAUGCUUUAUACAUGCAAGUCGAACGAAGGCCCUAGCUUGCUAGGUGUCCUUAGUGGCGCACGGGUGAGUAACACGUGGGAACAUACCUCAUAGUACGGAAUAACUGCGGGAAACUGUAGCUAAUACCGUAUAUUCCAGAAAUGGGAAAGAUUUAUCGCUAUGAGAUUGGCCCGCGCAAGAUUAGCUUGUUGGUAAGGUAAUGGCUUACCAAGGCUCCGAUCUUUAGCUGGUUUGAGAGGAUGAUCAGCCACACUGGGACUGAGACACGGCCCAGACUCCUACGGGAGGCAGCAGUAGGGAAUAUUGGACAAUGGGGGAAACCCUGAUCCAGCAAUGCAGCGUGAGUGACGAAGGCCUUAGGGUUGUAAAACUCUUUCAUCGGUGAGGAUAAUGACAGUAGCCGAAGAAGAAGGACCGGCUAAUUCCG
This 443-nucleotide ribosomal RNA is filed under the name uncultured Alphaproteobacteria bacterium. RNAcentral describes it as "bacterial SSU rRNA". It matches the Rfam family "Bacterial small subunit ribosomal RNA", at positions 29 to 505 of the family's 1533-position model. Lineage: Bacteria; Pseudomonadati; Pseudomonadota; Alphaproteobacteria. The record is from RNAcentral.